Molecule: transfer RNA, 74 nt
Filed under: Lachnospiraceae bacterium
Lineage: Bacteria; Bacillati; Bacillota; Clostridia; Lachnospirales; Lachnospiraceae
Description: tRNA-Trp
Rfam family: tRNA
About the family: Transfer RNA (tRNA) molecules are approximately 80 nucleotides in length.
Source: RNAcentral
GCCCGCAUAGUGUAAUGGCAGCACGACAGUCUCCAAAACUGUUUGUGAGGGUUCAAGUCCUUCUACGGGUGCCA